GCUUACGGCCAUACCACCUUAGGCACGCCCGAUCUCGUCUGAUCUCGGAAGCUAAGCAGGGUCGGGCCUGGUUAGUACUUGGAUGGGUGACCGCCUGGGAAUACCAGGUGCUAUAAGCA
RNAcentral lists this ribosomal RNA (119 nucleotides) under Gadus morhua (Atlantic cod). The record is from RNAcentral. Lineage: Eukaryota; Metazoa; Chordata; Actinopteri; Gadiformes; Gadidae.